RNAcentral lists this ribosomal RNA (736 nucleotides) under uncultured bacterium. RNAcentral's name for it is "bacterial SSU rRNA". It matches the Rfam family "Bacterial small subunit ribosomal RNA", at positions 771 to 1498 of the family's 1533-position model. The record is from RNAcentral.
AACAGGAUUAGAUACCCUGGUAGUCCACGCUGUAAACGAUGAAUGCUAAAUAUGGGGAGUUUACUUUCUGUAUUACAGCUAACGCGUUAAACAUUCCACCUGGGGACUACGGUCGCAAGAUUAAAACUCAAAGGAAUUGACGGGGACCCGCACAAGCGGUGGAGCAUGUGGUUUAAUUCGAUGCAACGCGAAAAACCUUACCACUCCUUGACAUGGAAAUUUAUACCUAUUUCGAAGGGAUAGGGUCGGUUCGGCCCGGGAUUUCACCCCAGGUGUUGCAUGGCUGUCGUCAGCUCGUGUCGUGAGAUGUUGGGGUUAAGUCCCGCAACGAGCGCAACCCCUCAUCCUUAGUUACCCAUCAGGUAAUGCUGGGGACUUUAAGGAAACUGCCAGUGAUAAACUGGAGGAAGGUGGGGAUGAUGUCAAGUCAUCAUGGCCCUUAUGGAGCGGGCUACACACGUGCUACAAUGGUGGCUACAAUGGGCUGCAAAGUCGCGAGGCUAAGCUAAUCCCUUAAAAGCCAUCUCAGUUCGGAUUGUACUCUGCAACUCGAGUGCAUGAAGUUGGAAUCGCUAGUAAUCGUGGAUCAGCACGCCACGGUGAAUACGUUCUCGGGUCUUGUACACACUGCCCGUCACGCCAUGGGAAUUGGUUUCACUCGAAGCUAACGACCUAACCGCAAGGAGGGAGUUAUUUAAAGUGGGACCGGUGACUGGGGUGAAGUCGUAACAAGGUA